RNAcentral lists this transfer RNA (68 nucleotides) under Phlaeoba angustidorsis. Its description in RNAcentral is "tRNA-Phe". It matches the Rfam family "tRNA". From Rfam's summary of the family: Transfer RNA (tRNA) molecules are approximately 80 nucleotides in length. Their secondary structure includes four short double-helical elements and three loops (D, anti-codon, and T loops). The record is from RNAcentral. Lineage: Eukaryota; Metazoa; Arthropoda; Insecta; Orthoptera; Acrididae.
AUCUAAAUAGCUUAUAUAGUUAGAGCAUAACACUGAAGAUGUUAAGGAGAUUAAUUUAUUUUUAGGUA